RNAcentral lists this ribosomal RNA (253 nucleotides) under uncultured bacterium. Its description in RNAcentral is "partial 16S ribosomal RNA". It matches the Rfam family "Bacterial small subunit ribosomal RNA", at positions 524 to 776 of the family's 1533-position model. The record is from RNAcentral.
UACAGAGGUCUCAAGCGUUGUUCGGAUUCAUUGGGCGUAAAGGGUGCGUAGGCGGCGCGGUAAGUCGGGUGUGAAAUCUCGGAGCUUAACUCCGAAACUGCAUUCGAUACUGCCGUGCUUGAGGACUGGAGAGGAGACUGGAAUUUACGGUGUAGCGGUGAAAUUCGUAGAUAUUCGGAAGAACACCAGUGGCGAAGGCGACUCACUGGACACGUAUUGACGCUGAGGUGCGAAAGCGUGGGGAGCAAACAGG